GGAGAUAUGGCUCAGUGGUAGAGCAUCAGUUUAACAAGUAGGAGGCCCUGAGUUCGAACCCCAGUGUGUGUG
Molecule: transfer RNA, 72 nt
Filed under: Dipodomys ordii (Ord's kangaroo rat)
Lineage: Eukaryota; Metazoa; Chordata; Mammalia; Rodentia; Heteromyidae
Rfam family: tRNA
About the family: Transfer RNA (tRNA) molecules are approximately 80 nucleotides in length. Their secondary structure includes four short double-helical elements and three loops (D, anti-codon, and T loops). Further hydrogen bonds mediate the characteristic L-shaped molecular structure. tRNAs have two regions of fundamental functional importance: the anti-codon, which is responsible for specific mRNA codon recognition, and the 3' end, to which the tRNAs corresponding amino acid is attached (by aminoacyl-tRNA synthetases). tRNAs cope with the degeneracy of the genetic code in two manners: having more than one tRNA (with a specific anti-codon) for a particular amino acid; and 'wobble' base-pairing, i.e. permitting non-standard base-pairing at the 3rd anti-codon position.
Source: Rfam by way of RNAcentral